UACAGAGGGUGCGAGCGUUGUCCGGAAUCACUGGGCGUAAAGGGCGCGUGGGCGGCGCGGUAAGCGUGCGGUGAAAGCCCGGGGCUCAACCCCGGGUCGGCCGUGCGGACUGCCGGGCUGGAGCACUGUAGAGGCAGGUGGAAUUCCGGGUGUAGCGGUGGAAUGCGUAGAGAUCCGGAAGAACACCGGUGGCGAAGGCGGCCUGCUGGGCAGUAGCUGACGCUGAGGCGCGAAAGCGUGGGGAGCAAACAGG
This 253-nucleotide ribosomal RNA is filed under the name uncultured bacterium. Its description in RNAcentral is "partial 16S ribosomal RNA". It matches the Rfam family "Bacterial small subunit ribosomal RNA", at positions 524 to 776 of the family's 1533-position model. The record is from RNAcentral.